CGGCAGCACGGGAGCAAUCCUGGUGGCGAGUGGCGAACGGGUGAGUAAUACAUCGGAACGUGUCCUGUAGUGGGGGAUAGCCCGGCGAAAGCCGGAUUAAUACCGCAUACGCUCUACGGAGGAAAGGGGGGGAUCUUAGGACCUCUCGCUACAGGGGCGGCCGAUGGCAGAUUAGCUAGUUGGUGGGGUAAAGGCCUACCAAGGCGACGAUCUGUAGCUGGUCUGAGAGGACGACCAGCCACACUGGGACUGAGACACGGCCCAGACUCCUACGGGAGGCAGCAGUGGGGAAUUUUGGACAAUGGGCGAAAGCCUGAUCCAGCAAUGCCGCGUGUGUGAAGAAGGCCUUCGGGUUGUAAAGCACUUUUGUCCGGAAAGAAAUCCCCUGGGAUAAUACCCCGGGGGGAUGACGGUACCGGAAGAAUAAGCACCGGCUAACUACGUGCCAGCAGCCGCGGUAAUACGUAGGGUGCAAGCGUUAAUCGGAAUUACUGGGCGUAAAGCGUGCGCAGGCGGUUCGCUAAGACAGAUGUGAAAUCCCCGGGCUUAACCUGGGAACUGCAUUUGUGACUGGCGGGCUAGAGUAUGGCAGAGGGGGGUAGAAUUCCACGUGUAGCAGUGAAAUGCGUAGAGAUGUGGAGGAAUACCGAUGGCGAA
RNAcentral lists this ribosomal RNA (657 nucleotides) under uncultured Burkholderia sp. Its description in RNAcentral is "bacterial SSU rRNA". It matches the Rfam family "Bacterial small subunit ribosomal RNA", at positions 67 to 719 of the family's 1533-position model. The record is from RNAcentral. Lineage: Bacteria; Pseudomonadati; Pseudomonadota; Betaproteobacteria; Burkholderiales; Burkholderiaceae.